ACGUCUUCUCCUUGAGUUAUUGGCUCUUUUUUGCAUUCACCCAGCUACUUCAUCCAGCUUAAGGGCUCAGGAGUAGGCCAUUGUGGAGGAAGUGACAGGAGCCCUGUUAUGUAAGAAGACAGGGAGGUAGAUUGCCCAUGCUCACCUCCGGGAGCCUCAGUCACUCUACCACAGAGUGCCCCAGGAGAGACAGAAUGAAAGGAAAGGAAGCAGUGAAAAUGAAGAGGCCAGUGCUGAUGUUCUGGGUGAGUGAGUGAUCUUUAUUUUCUUCUUUUUCCUUUAACAAGAGAGUUUAUUUUACUAUACGAAGAACACAGAUUGUGGUAUUAUUUCAGAAAAGUUCAAGAAGGAAAGAAUCCCU
This 361-nucleotide long non-coding RNA is filed under the name Canis lupus dingo (dingo). RNAcentral describes it as "lncRNA (ENSCAFG00020004941.1)". The record is from RNAcentral. Lineage: Eukaryota; Metazoa; Chordata; Mammalia; Carnivora; Canidae.